CGAGAAGACCCUGUGGAGCUUUAGACGCCAGAAUAGACCAUGUUAAACACCCCAAGAAAAAGGGCUAAACCAAAUGAGACCUAUUCCAAUGUCUUUGGUUGGGGCGACCUAGG
RNAcentral lists this ribosomal RNA (113 nucleotides) under Nemadactylus macropterus (tarakihi). RNAcentral describes it as "partial 16S ribosomal RNA". The record is from RNAcentral. Lineage: Eukaryota; Metazoa; Chordata; Actinopteri; Centrarchiformes; Cheilodactylidae.